GUGAACGCUGGCGGUCGGCCUAACCCAUGCAAGUCGAACGGCAGCACCGUAAGAGCUUGCUCUUACGGGUGGCGAGUGGCGGACGGGUGAGGAAUACAUCGGAAUCUACUUUUUCGUGGGGGAUAACGUAGGGAAACUUACGCUAAUACCGCAUACGACCUACGGGUGAAAGCAGGGGAUCUUCGGACCUUGCGCGAUUGAAUGAGCCGAUGUCGGAUUAGCUAGUUGGCGGGGUAAAGGCCCACCAAGGCGACGAUCCGUAGCUGGUCUGAGAGGAUGAUCAGCCACACUGGAACUGAGACACGGUCCAGACUCCUACGGGAGGCAGCAGUGGGGAAUAUUGGACAAUGGGCGCAAGCCUGAUCCAGCCAUACCGCGUGGGUGAAGAAGGCCUUCGGGUUGUAAAGCCCUUUUGUUGGGAAAGAAAAGCAGCAGGUUAAUACCCCGCUGUUCUGACGGUACCCAAAGAAUAAGCACCGGCUAACUUCGUG
RNAcentral lists this ribosomal RNA (491 nucleotides) under uncultured bacterium. Its description in RNAcentral is "partial 16S ribosomal RNA". It matches the Rfam family "Bacterial small subunit ribosomal RNA", at positions 29 to 507 of the family's 1533-position model. The record is from RNAcentral.